GUGGGGAAUAUUGGACAAUGGGCGAAAGCCUGAUCCAGCCAUGCCGCGUGUGUGAAGAAGGUCUUCGGAUUGUAAAGCACUUUAAGUUGGGAGGAAGGGCAGUAAGCUAAUACCUUGCUGUUUUGACGUUACCGACAGAAUAAGCACCGGCUAACUUCGUGCCAGCAGCCGCGGUAAUACGAAGGGUGCAAGCGUUAAUCGGAAUUACUGGGCGUAAAGCGCGCGUAGGUGGUUUUGUAAGUUGGAGGUGAAAUCCCCGGGCUCAACCUGGGGACUGCCUCCAAAACUGCAUGACUAGAGUACGGUAGAGGGUAGUGGAAUUUCCUGUGUAGCGGUGAAAUGCGUAGAUAUAGGAAGGAACACCAGUGGCGAAGGCGACUACCUGGACUGAUACUGACACUGAGGUGCGAAAGCGUGGGGAGCAAACAGGAUUAGAUACCCCGGUAGUCC
RNAcentral lists this ribosomal RNA (450 nucleotides) under uncultured bacterium. RNAcentral describes it as "bacterial SSU rRNA". It matches the Rfam family "Bacterial small subunit ribosomal RNA", at positions 354 to 796 of the family's 1533-position model. The record is from RNAcentral.